RNAcentral lists this small RNA (1804 nucleotides) under Drosophila pseudoobscura pseudoobscura. RNAcentral's name for it is "GA32729". Lineage: Eukaryota; Metazoa; Arthropoda; Insecta; Diptera; Drosophilidae. The record is from RNAcentral.
CUUUUUCGAUCAUCAUAGCGAUGAUUUCGGCACGAAGCUUUGCCCUGAGCAGGCGUUAACUUAGCUUUUCAAAUAACCCCACAGUGCAAAGCGAUCCAGUUUCCAACACUGGUCUACACAAGUCAGUCGGUUCACAAUUGUCAAAGUUAUUCAAUGUUUCAAUGUUACAUGCCAACACAAGAGACGGUGCACCCUGUAGAUACUUUUAACUCGAUUGAUCACCCAUCGUUAUCAAUCACUGCUUUACUAAUACGUUUUAUUUCGACAUAUCAAAAUGCCUUAAAAAAAGAUGAUGCCAUCAAUUAAUUGGAGUUACAUACAGGACACAGAUAAGAGAUUUACUUAAAAAUUAUACACGAAAAUUCACCGUCAAACAGGAUUUUCAAAGAUUAAAAAAAGAAGUGUCAUGUAUACGUUAUUAGAAUUCAACGCUUCGCUCUUUUACAACGCCUUCUCAAGCAUUCUGUGACACCUGUGAUCAUCCCUUAUUUUCAUAAAUUUAAUAUUUCAAAUACAGUGUUCCACACCCUCCCCACUGCUUCAAUUUUUCGAACUUUUUGAUUGGUUCCUACUUAAUUUAUUGCUCCAAUUUGUAACUUUUUGUUAUUAUUAUUCAUUACUCGCAUUCUACGACAUUCAUUUCACAGUUCCCCUUUCUUUCCUCCCCAAGCUCGGAUUCUUCGGAAUCCCCCUGGAAGUGACCGCCUCUGCCGCCUCUGUCAGCAUGUGCAUCUACCAGUACUUGUGCGAGAAACUCUCAGAGGAGGAGGUGUUCCAAACAAAUGCAAUUACAUACGAAGGCUAAACGCGAGGCAAAUUGAGCAACUUAGAGAGAGAGCGAGAGAGAGAGAGAGAGAACGAGAGAGAGAGAGAGAGAGAGUGACAGAGAGAAGCUGCUCGAACAGCAGCUGCAUCCCAGGCAGAGCCCAAAUGAAUAGAGAAUCGGUUGUGGAGCCAAAACCACAGGCACCCAACCAGUAAGCCACCAGCCCAAUUCUGCCUUAGCCCCUUACCGAGCCGCAUUUGGGCCUUAAAGUGAGCGGAGCUCAUUGGAAACACGCGAGUCUAAAUGGAAACGGAAAUGGUUGUGGAUGUGGAUGUGGAAGUGCACGUGGAGAGAACAGCAGCAGCGCCAUCUGUGAGUUGAGCUAUGUGUGUGACUGUUUCUUUCUCUUUCUACUUCUCCUUCUCUGUCCUUGUGGCUGUGCAUCUAUCUCUGUGCCCGUUCACAGGGUAGCAAAUUGAUUUUGACCAAGAUUCAUUUUCAGAUCUGUCCACGUUCUCUCUCUCUCUCUCUCUCAUUGUUGUUGCAGCUUUUCAUUUGGCAUUUUCCAUUUUCCAUGGUGCGACUGCUGCUGCUGCUGCUGUUGCUAUUGCUGGAGCCUCUGGCAGUUAGUGAAAAUUGUCCGCUCGCUUCGCUGAUUGUUUAUAGAAACGUACGGCAGCCGUACAAUGUCAGUCAUCAGAGGCAGCCACAGUCACAUAUAACAAGCAAGAGCAGCACUCGAUUAUGGUGUUGCGUCAGGGAGAUACCUGGUACUCAGACUGGGAUAUAAACUCAAAUGAACAUUAUAGGUUCUAGGUUAGGCUAUGGUGGUAGCGGGGGAGAGGGGACGAGCCUUCCCCAGCUCAAUUGGACCUGUUAAAGGUCCCUUGAGAUAAGAUCUAUCCGCACGAUACUCGCACUGCAAACCGGAGAAAAAGAGACGGCAUUAAUGUCGCAAGCAUUUGCAAAGAUUUACCCGAUCGUGUGGACAAUAGAUAUACCUUGAUGACAUCCUAUUAAACUACAUCUUAUCUUAAA